Molecule: ribosomal RNA, 396 nt
Filed under: uncultured Glomeromycotina
Lineage: Eukaryota; Fungi; Glomeromycota
Description: SSU rRNA
Rfam family: Eukaryotic small subunit ribosomal RNA
Source: RNAcentral
AGCAGCCGCGGUAAUUCCAGCUCCAAUAGCGUAUAUUAAAGUUGUUGCAGUUAAAAAGCUCGUAGUUGAAUUUCGAGACCAAAUUGUUGGUCGUGCCUUGGUACGUACUGGCAUUAUUGGUUUCUCCCUUCUGACGAACCAAGAUGUCAUUAAUUUGGUGUCUUGGGGAAUCAGGACUGUUACUUUGAAAAAUUAGAGUGUUUAAAGCAGGCUCGCGCUUGAAUACAUUAGCAUGGAAUAGUGAAAUAGGACGUUUGAUUCUAUUUUGUUGGUUUCUAGGAUCGACGUAAUGAUUAAUAGGGAUAGUUGGGGGCAUUAGUAUUCAAUUGUCAGAGGUGAAAUUCUUGGAUUUAUUGAAGACUAACUACUGCGAAAGCAUUUGCCAAGGAUGUUUUC